GAUGAACGCUGGCGGCGUGCCUAAUACAUGCAAGUCGAGCGAACAGACGAGGAGCUUGCUCCUCUGACGUUAGCGGCGGACGGGUGAGUAACACGUGGAUAACCUACCUAUAAGACUGGGAUAACUUCGGGAAACCGGAGCUAAUACCGGAUAAUAUAUUGAACCGCAUGGUUCAAUAGUGAAAGACGGUUUUGCUGUCACUUAUAGAUGGAUCCGCGCCGCAUUAGCUAGUUGGUAAGGUAACGGCUUACCAAGGCAACGAUGCGUAGCCGACCUGAGAGGGUGAUCGGCCACACUCGAACUGAGACACGGUCCAGACUCCUACGGGAGGCAGCAGUAGGGAAUCUUCCGCAAUGGGCGAAAGCUUGACGGAGCAACGCCGCGUGAGUGAUGAAGGUCUUCGGAUCGUAAAACUCUGUUAUUAGGGAAGAACAAAUGUGUAAGUAACUAUGCACGUCUUGACGGUACCUAAUCAGAAAGCCACGGCUAACUACGUG
Molecule: ribosomal RNA, 497 nt
Filed under: uncultured bacterium
Lineage: Bacteria
Description: partial 16S ribosomal RNA
Rfam family: Bacterial small subunit ribosomal RNA
Source: RNAcentral